Long non-coding RNA from Pelodiscus sinensis (Chinese soft-shelled turtle), 1252 nucleotides. RefSeq lists it as uncharacterized. NCBI's taxonomy places the organism in Eukaryota, Metazoa, Chordata, Testudines, Trionychidae. The record is from RefSeq and is a predicted model, not a curated record.
GGCCUCUCUGGCGGGGCUCGAGCUUCCUGGGCCUCAAGCAUCCCUCCCCUCCCCUCCCGUCACACCCCGGCUUGGCCUAACCUGGCAGUGCAGCGGGGAAGGCUCUGAGAGCCCCUCAUGGCAGGCAACAUACCCCUGGGCUACCUCGCUGCCCACGCGGCUAGUUGUACCUGUGCGGGGGGAGGGGUGUGCAGCCGCCAGCUGCCCCAUGCUACUCUUCAGCCUGUGAGUGUGGGGAAGGGAAGAAUGGAAGAUGAACUCUGCAACUGCUCCUCCUAAUUCUGGGUUUGUAUUGACCAAGAGCAUCAACUGUGCAUAGGAUGCAGAGAAAGUUCGGCCACGUGAAAGGAACAUUUAAAUAGCUGAACUUAAGAACACGAGAGGAAAAGAACACCGCCCAACCUACUUGGGAUGGGUUGAUGGGAUCCUCAGAUAACCAGAAUUUUUAAAUAACCAGAACACCCUAGUCCCCGAGCAUGCCGGAUAACACAAGUUUUACUGUACUACUUUUGUGUGGGUAUAACGAUGCUAAUAGGUACCGUAUUUGGUAUAAGUUCUUGUUUCUUGUUAACAUUACAAAUUAAGUCUUGCUACUUAUCUGCAUUGCAAGCUAAGUUGUAUAAGGCUCUUUUGUUAUUUCUUAGUAACUAUAUCCUUUCUCAAAUGUAAUCCUGUCUGAAAAUUUCUCUGUAAAAUUGUUUGGUGUGAGUGGAGAAUGCAUGCAUACUUAAGGAUAAGUGUGAAAUCCAUCAUGAAUGUCCAGAUGGUCAAAAGGAAGUGAGAAACUUUGAGGAAAAAAUCAGAAAACCCAUUGUGCCCACUGCUAAACAAAUUAGCAGAAUUAACAAAUCUUGGAGAAAGGCAGGCAUCCCCAAAGGUGAGAUGACAAAUGAGAUGAUGGGAAGCCUGACAACAAUCAAAAGAUAAUAUGAAAAAUUCCAAGAUUAAAUACCAUUUAUGGAUUAACAUUGGCAACAUGACAUUGCCAAAUCCCUAGACUCCAAUGGCAACUUACAAAAAUAAAGAUAGGGUGUUUUGUCAUGGUUCCCCGGGGUCAGUCCUGAUGAGCCUCAAAGUAUCGGGUCAUGACCAACAGAGCCCAGCUCCUCACUCGUUCAAUUUAACUGACCAUUUUAGGUUGACUUGAGCUAAAACAGACUGGUAACUAUAAGAGCAUCUUCAGGACCUGUGGUCUGUGUGUGAAUGAAUGCAUAUGCUGCUUUUCAUGUUAUAUUUUCAAUAAAUGUGGCUU